GAUGAACGCUGGCGGCGUGCCUAAUACAUGCAAGUCGAGCGAACAGAUGAGUAGCUUGCUCCUCUGACGUUAGCGGCGGAUGGGUGAGUAACACGUUGAUAACCUACCUAUAAGACUGGGAUAACUUCGGGAAACCUGAGCUAAUACCGGAUAAUAUAUUGAACCUCAUGGUUUAAUAGUGAAAGACGGUUUUGCUGUCACUUAUAGAUUGAUCCGCGCCGCAUUAGCUAGUUGGUAAGGUAACGGCUUACCAAGGCAACGAUGCGUAGCCGACCUGAGAGGGUGAUCGGCCACACUGGAACUGAGACAAGGUCCAGACUCCUACGGGAGGCAGCAGUAGGGAAUCUUCCGCAAUGGGCGAAAGCCUGACGGAGCAACGCCGCGUGAGUGAUGAAGGUCAUCGGAUCGUAAAACUCUGUUAUUAGGGAAGAACAAAUGUGUAAGUAACUAUGCACGUCUUGACGGUACCUAAUCAGAAAGCCACGGCUAACUACGUG
This 497-nucleotide ribosomal RNA is filed under the name uncultured bacterium. Its description in RNAcentral is "partial 16S ribosomal RNA". It matches the Rfam family "Bacterial small subunit ribosomal RNA", at positions 28 to 507 of the family's 1533-position model. The record is from RNAcentral.